This 557-nucleotide ribosomal RNA is filed under the name Novosphingobium sp. HRRK028. RNAcentral's name for it is "bacterial SSU rRNA". It matches the Rfam family "Bacterial small subunit ribosomal RNA", at positions 102 to 694 of the family's 1533-position model. The record is from RNAcentral. RNAcentral also lists the same sequence under 1 other name. Lineage: Bacteria; Pseudomonadati; Pseudomonadota; Alphaproteobacteria; Sphingomonadales; Sphingomonadaceae.
ACGGGUGCGUAACGCGUGGGAAUCUGCCCCUUGGUUCGGAAUAACAGCGAGAAAUUGCUGCUAAUACCGGAUGAUGACUUCGGUCCAAAGAUUUAUCGCCAAGGGAUGAGCCCGCGUAAGAUUAGGUAGUUGGUGGGGUAAUGGCCUACCAAGCCGACGAUCUUUAGCUGGUCUGAGAGGAUGAUCAGCCACACUGGGACUGAGACACGGCCCAGACUCCUACGGGAUGCAGCAGUGGGGAAUAUUGGACAAUGGGCGAAAGCCUGAUCCAGCAAUGCCGCGUGAGUGAUGAAGGCCUUAGGGUUGUAAAGCUCUUUUACCAGGGAUGAUAAUGACAGUACCUGGAGAAUAAGCUCCGGCUAACUCCGUGCCAGCAGCCGCGGUAAUACGGAGGGAGCUAGCGUUGUUCGGAAUUACUGGGCGUAAAGCGCACGUAGGCGGCUACUCAAGUCAGAGGUGAAAGCCCGGGGCUCAACCCCGGAACUGCCUUUGAAACUAGGUAGCUAGAAUCUUGGAGAGGUCAGUGGAAUUCCGAGUGUAGAGGUGAAAUUCGUAGA